Molecule: transfer RNA, 75 nt
Filed under: Schistocerca americana (American grasshopper)
Lineage: Eukaryota; Metazoa; Arthropoda; Insecta; Orthoptera; Acrididae
Also listed under: 2 other names
Description: tRNA-Thr
Rfam family: tRNA
About the family: Transfer RNA (tRNA) molecules are approximately 80 nucleotides in length.
Source: RNAcentral
GCCCGCGGUGGCUCAGAUGGAUAGAGCGUCUGCCAUGUAAGCAGGAGAUCCCAGGUUCGAGUCCUGGUCGGGGCA